AUGGAGGCCACCCUCAAGCGCAAGGCCGCGGAAGCCCCCGCCGACGGGCCCGACCCCCCGCUCAAGGCGCCGCGCGCGGACGCCGCCGAGCGCGUCGCCUGCCUGCACGACGUCUCCUACCCCGAGGGCUACGACGCGUCCGCCUCCGGCCCGCGCGUCGUCGCCGGCGGCGGCGAGGGCGCCGCCCCGGCCAAGACGUUCCCCUUCCCGCUCGACCCCUUCCAGUCCGAGGCCAUCCGCUGCCUCGACAACGGCGAGUCCGUCAUGGUUUCGGCGCACACGUCGGCGGGGAAGACGGUGGUGGCGCUGUACGCGAUAGCCAUGUCCCUGCGCAACCAGCAGCGGGUCAUCUACACGUCGCCCAUCAAGGCCCUCAGCAACCAGAAGUACAGGGAGUUCAAGGAGGAGUUCUCCGACGUCGGCCUCAUGACCGGGGACGUCACCAUCGAGCCAAACGCAUCUUGCUUGGUCAUGACCACGGAGAUUUGGCGCAGCAUGCAGUACAAGGGGUCCGAGGUGAUGAGGGAAGUCGCCUGGGUUAUCUUCGAUGAGGUGCAUUACAUGCGUGACAGGGAGAGGGGAGUGGUGUGGGAGGAGAGUAUUGUGAUGGCCCCCAAAAACUCGCGGUUCGUGUUCCUCUCGGCAACUGUACCUAAUGCCAAGGAAUUUGCUGAUUGGGUUGCCAAGGUACAUAAGCAACCUUGUCAUAUAGUAUACACCGACUACCGACCUACACCUCUCCAGCACUAUGUAUUUCCUGCUGGAGGUGAUGGCUUAUACCUGGUCGUUGAUGAAAAUGGCAAGUUCAGAGAGGACAGCUUUCAGAAAUCUCUGAAUGUCCUUGCCCCUGCUACUGGCAGUGACAAGAAGAGGGAAAACGGGAAGCGGCAAAAGGGCCUUGUCUCGGCAGGCAAAACUAAUGAAGAAAGCGACAUAUUCAAGAUGGUGAAAAUGAUAAUUCAGCGUCAAUAUGACCCUGUAAUACUUUUCAGCUUUAGCAAAAGGGAGUGUGAAUUUCUUGCCAUGCAGAUGGCCAAGAUGGACUUGAAUGGGGAUGAUGAGAAAGUGAACAUUGAAACCAUUUUUUGGAGUGCCAUGGAUUUGCUUUCAGAUGAUGAUAAAAAGCUUCCCCAGGUUUCAAAUAUGCUUCCUUUAUUGAAACGUGGCAUUGGAGUACAUCAUUCUGGCCUGCUGCCCAUUUUAAAGGAAGUGAUUGAGAUACUUUUCCAAGAGGGCCUCAUCAAGUGUCUGUUUGCCACAGAGACAUUCAGUAUUGGAUUGAACAUGCCUGCAAAGACUGUUGUGUUUACCAAUGUACGUAAGUUUGACGGAGAUCGAUUCAGAUGGUUAUCAAGUGGAGAGUACAUCCAGAUGAGCGGCCGUGCUGGUCGUCGAGGUAUUGAUCAGCGUGGUAUCUGCAUAUUGAUGGUAGAUGAGAAAAUGGAACCCUCAACUGCCAAAAUGAUGCUGAAAGGAGGUGCUGAUAGUUUGAACAGUGCCUUUCAUUUGAGCUACAACAUGUUGUUGAAUCAACUGCGCUCUGAGGAUGGUGAUCCAGAAAAGCUUCUUCGGCAUUCAUUCUACCAAUUUCAAGCAGAUAGAGCUCUCCCUGAUCUCGAGAAGCAAGUCAGGGAACUGGAAAUAGAAAGAAGUUCCAUGGUUAUUGAAGACGAGGAGAGCGUGAAGGACUACUAUGAUCUCUUACAGCAGUACAGAACUUUAAAGAAGGAUGUCCGUGAUAUUGUACUUUCGCCAAAAUAUGUUCUGCCUUUCUUGCAAUCUGGAAGGCUUGUUCGUGUUCAAUACAGUACAGAUGAGUCCACCUUCUCCAUUGACGAAAAUGUGUCGUGGGGAAUUAUAAUAAAUUUUGAAAAGGUGAAAACCAAUGCUGAAGAAAGAAGGCCCGAGGAUUGUGAUUACACUGUUGAUGUCCUCACAAGAUGUUCUGUAAUCAAGGACAUAAGUGGAAAGAAGACAAUGAAGGUUAUUCCUCUCAAAUCCCGUGGAGAACCAGUUGUUAUUUCGUUGCCACUUUCUCAGAUUGAUGGACUAAGUAGCGUUCGGAUGUACAUACCCAAGGAUCUUUUGCCUGUAGAAGCUCGAGAAAACACAUUGAGGAAAGUUGACGAAGUGCUUUCAAGGUUUGCUAAAGAUGGGGUUCCUCUCUUGGAUCCAGAAGAAGAUAUGGAAGUAAAAUCUAGCUCCUACCGGAAAGCUGCCAGAAGAAUAGAAGCUCUUGAGAGCUUAUUUGAGAAGCAUGACAUCCGUAAUGCUCCCCAUAUCCAACAGAAGCUGAAGCUCUUGCAUGCUAAGCAAGAAAUAAAAGCCAAAAUAAAGUCCAUAAAGAAAACAAUGCGGGCCUCGACUGCUCUAGCCUUUAAGGACGAGCUCAAGGCACGAAAACGAGUUCUUCGUAGGCUGGGAUAUAUCACCAGUGAGGAUGUAGUUGAAAUAAAGGGCAAAGUGGCAUGUGAGAUCAGCUCAGCCGACGAACUGACAUUGACCGAGCUUAUGUUCAGUGGCACUUUGAAAGAUGCUACUGUGGAGCAGAUGGUGGCUCUGCUCUCUUGCUUUGUCUGGCAGGAGAAGCUUCAGGAUGCCCCAAAGCCAAGGGAGGAGCUCGACCUGCUCUUCUACCAGUUGCAAGAGACGGCACGACGGGUCGCGAACCUCCAGCUUGAAUGCAAGAUCCAGAUCGAUGUUGAGAGUUUUGUGAACUCCUUCCGCCCCGACGUGAUGGAGGCCGUGUACUCGUGGGCCAGAGGGUCCAAGUUCCACCAGAUCAUGGAGAUGACACAGGUGUUCGAGGGCAGCCUGAUCAGGGCCAUCAGGCGGCUGGAGGAGGUCCUGCAGCAGCUGAUCCUGGCAUCCCAGUCGAUCGGUGAGACCCAGCUCGAAGCCAAGCUCGAGGAGGCGGUCAGCAAGAUUAAGAGGGACAUCGUGUUCGCCGCGUCCCUGUACUUGUGA
RNAcentral lists this ribosomal RNA (2967 nucleotides) under Triticum aestivum (bread wheat). Its description in RNAcentral is "partial small subunit ribosomal RNA". Lineage: Eukaryota; Viridiplantae; Streptophyta; Magnoliopsida; Poales; Poaceae. The record is from RNAcentral.